Molecule: unclassified non-coding RNA, 316 nt
Filed under: plant metagenome
Description: partial contains 5.8S ribosomal RNA, internal transcribed spacer 2, and large subunit ribosomal RNA
Rfam family: 5.8S ribosomal RNA (bases 1-106)
Source: RNAcentral
CGAACUGCGAUAAGUAAUGUGAAUUGCAGAAUUCAGUGAAUCAUCGAGUCUUUGAACGCACAUUGCGCCCCCUGGUAUUCCGGGGGGCAUGCCUGUCCGAGCGUCAUUGCUGCCCUUCAAGCCCGGCUUGUGUGUUGGGUCGUCGUCCCCUCCGGGGGACGGGCCCGAAAGGCAGCGGCGGCACCGCGUCCGGUCCUCGAGCGUAUGGGGCUUUGUCACCCGCUCGAUAAGGACCGGCCGGGCGCCAGCCGGCGUCUCCAACCUUUUUUUCUCAGGUUGACCUCGGAUCAGGUAGGGAUACCCGCUGAACUUAAGC